UCCGAAGUCAAGCAUCAUUGGGCGCGGUCAGUACUUGGGUGGGUGACCACCUGGGAACA
RNAcentral lists this ribosomal RNA (59 nucleotides) under Caerostris darwini. Lineage: Eukaryota; Metazoa; Arthropoda; Arachnida; Araneae; Araneidae. The record is from RNAcentral.